GAUGAACGCUAGCGGCAGGCCUAACACAUGCAAGUCGAGGGGUAGAAGUUGCUUGCAACUUUUAUACCGGCGCAGGGGUGCGUAACGCGUAUGCUAUCUACCUUAUACUAAGGGAUAACCCAGAGAAAUUUGGAUUAAUACCUUAUAGUUAAUUGAAAAGGCAUCUUUUUAAUUAUAAAGAUUAAUUGGUAUAAAAUGAGCAUGCGUCCCCCUAUUUAGUUGGUGUGGUAACGCCAUACCCCGACAAUAAUGGGGAGGGGGCCUGAGAGGGAGAUCCCCCCCACUGGUACUGAGACACGGACCACACUCCUACGGGAGGCGGCAGUGAGGAAUAUUGGUCAAUGGGCGCAAGCCUGAACCACCCAUGCCGCGUGCAGGAUGAAACAUCUAUGGUGUGUAAACUGCUUUUGUACAGGAAAAAACACCUCUACAAGUAGAGACUUGACGGUACUGUAAAAAUAAGGAUCGGCUAACUCCGUGCCACCAGCCGCGGUAAUACGGAGGAUCCAAGCGUUAUCCGGAAUCAUUGGGUUUAAAGGGUCCGUAGGCGGCUAUAUAAGUCAGCGGUGAAAGUUUUUGGCUUAACCAAAAAAUCGCCCAUUGAUACUGUAUGGCGUGUAUAAUUGUGAAGUAACUAGUAUAUGUAGUGUAGCGGUGAAAUGCAUAGAUAUCACAUGGAAUACCAAUUGCGAAAGCGGGUGACUAACAAUAUAUUGACACUCAUAGACAAAAGCGUGGGUAGCGAACAGGAUUAGAUACCCUGGUAGUCCACCCCGUAAACGAUGGAUACUAGCUGUUUGGGUGUAAGCGUGAGUGGCUAAGAGAAAGUGAUAAGUAUCCCACCUGGGGAGUACGUUCGCAAGAAUGAAACUCAAAGGAAUUGAGGGGGGCCCGCACAAGCGGUGGAGCAUGUGGUUUAUUUCGGUGAUACGCGAGGAACCUUACCAGGGUUUAAAUGUAGUUUGACCGCUUAGGAAAAUAGGUUUUCGCAAGACAAAAUACAAGGUGGUGCAUGGUUGUUGUCAGCUCGUGCCGUGAGGUGUCAGGUUAAGUCCUAUAAAGAGCGCCACCCCUGUUUUUAGUUGCCAGCACGUAAUGGGGGGAACUAUAACAAGACCCCCAGUGUAAAGUGCGAGGAAGGUGGGGAUGAUGUCAAAUCAUCACGGCCCUUACGUCCUGGGCCACACACGUGCUACAAUGGGCGGUACAGAGAGCAGCUACCUAGUGAUAGGAUGAGAAUUUAUAAAACCGUUCUCAGUUCGGAUCGGAGUCUGCAACUCGACUCCGUGAAGCUGGAAUCGCUAGUAAUCGGAUAUCAGCCAUGAUCCGGUGAAUACGUUCCCGGGCCUUGUACUCACCGC
RNAcentral lists this ribosomal RNA (1361 nucleotides) under uncultured bacterium. Its description in RNAcentral is "bacterial SSU rRNA". It matches the Rfam family "Bacterial small subunit ribosomal RNA", at positions 28 to 1393 of the family's 1533-position model. The record is from RNAcentral.